CCUACGGGAGGCAGCAGUGGGGAAUAUUGCACAAUGGGGGAAACCCUGAUGCAGCAACGCCGCGUGAGUGAAGAAGUAUUUCGGUAUGUAAACCUCUAUUAGCAGGGAAGAAGAAAGCCGGUACCUGACUAAGAAGCCCCGCCUAACUACGUCCCAGCAGCUGCGGUAAUACGUAGGGUGCAAGCUUUAUCCGGAUUUACUGGGUGUAAAGGGAGCGUAGCAGGCUGGGCAAGUCUGAAGUGAAAGCCCUUGGCUCAACCGCGGAACUGCUUUGGAAACUGUAUUGCUUGAGUACUGGAGAGGCAGGUGGAAUUCCUGGUGUAGCGGUGAAAUGCGUAGAUAUUAAGAGGAACACUCGUGGCGAAGGCGGCCUGCUGGACAAAAACUGACGUUGAGGCUCGAAAGCGUGGGGAGCAAACAGGAUUAGAUACCCUUGUAGUC
This 441-nucleotide ribosomal RNA is filed under the name uncultured bacterium. RNAcentral's name for it is "partial 16S ribosomal RNA". It matches the Rfam family "Bacterial small subunit ribosomal RNA", at positions 338 to 795 of the family's 1533-position model. The record is from RNAcentral.